RNAcentral lists this non-coding RNA (26 nucleotides) under Bombyx mori (domestic silkworm). Lineage: Eukaryota; Metazoa; Arthropoda; Insecta; Lepidoptera; Bombycidae. The record is from RNAcentral.
UAACUUGACAAGCUUGUAAUGUGUGA